RNAcentral lists this long non-coding RNA (238 nucleotides) under Elaeis guineensis (African oil palm). Its description in RNAcentral is "long non-coding RNA (EGUI_LNC003148)". Lineage: Eukaryota; Viridiplantae; Streptophyta; Magnoliopsida; Arecales; Arecaceae. The record is from RNAcentral.
UAUUUUGAAUUCAAUUUAUUUUUAUUUUUUUUAAUCUAUAAAUUAGGCUCUUUGUAUUGGUGACUAUUUUUUCUACAAAAUACAAGCAAAAACAUCAAUUCUUAAAAAUUAAAAAUUAAUUAAUAUAUAUUUUGAUAUUUUUAUUAGGAUAUUUAAUGUACUUAUCGAUAACCAUAAAGGAAACUUAUAUUAAUAAAUAGUACGAAGACUACUGUGAUUCAAUAUUAAGGAUUUUAGC